UGUCUCUUCGGAGACAUCCGAUAAAAUUGGAACGAUACAGAGAAGAUUAGCAUGGCCCCUGCGCAAGGAUGACACGCACAAAUCGAGAAAUGGUCCAAAUUUUUUUUCGCUCUCGGCAUUCUUUCCUUCUUCGAUUUCGAUCGGGCUGCUCUUUUGUUCUUUCUUGCUUCGUGUUCUUCUGCUCUCUCUGUCCCAAAAUCUUCAUCUUUUUCUCGUUCUUUUCCUUCUUAUUUCCUUGAUCAAGGCACAGGGAGGAAGAAAGCUGCUUCUUCGGAGUGCGGUCGUGUUCCUUGUCCUCGUUGGUCUGUCCAUGGACGCUGGUCCUCUUCCUCGCUCGCUGAUCCACACCAAUGCGGACGCCUCCGAAUCAAAUCGCAUGAUGUGCUGCCCUUGGUCCGAAGCGCCGCUGCGAGGAAAAAGAUUGUCCGACAUCACCAACACGGUGAGUUCGGGGACGGCCGGAAUGAUGGGUGCCGAUGUCGAUCAAGGUAACUCGAAUGUGAUUUCUUGCCCGAUCUCCAAAGAUUGCAUCGUCCAGCUCAUGAAGGUACCUUUGGAGAUUUUCUUUUUGGUCUCCCUUUUUCAUCUUUCUUUCAUUCUUCAUCAGCAUUUAGUGUUUGUUUCUAAAAAAGAUGUUUGAAAAUGCUUUUUUCUUUACAUGAUCAAUAUGAAUUCCAGGAAAAUACUGCCUUGUUGAAGCUUCUUGCAGAAAAGAACAAAAUCAUAGAACUGAGUAGCACCGAGUUGCAAAAACUCCAAUUUGAAUUGCGGAAAACCAGUCAACAAAACUGGCAAUUGGCCCGGGCUAACUCACACAUGCUAGCGGUCGAUUCCUUGUUCAUUUUCUUUAUUGUUUCAGUUCGCAAAAAAGAUUUAUUCUUUAUCUGUUUCGUCUUUUGAUUCGCAGGAGCUCAACUUGGGGAAAGAAAGAGUAUGUUUUCUUUACAUACUUUUUUCUUUACAUAAUCAAUAUGAAUUCCAGGAAAAUACUGCCUUGUUGAAGCUUCAUGCAGAAAAGAACAAAAUCAUAGAACUGAGUAGCACCGAGUUGCAAAAACUCCAAUUUGAAUUGCGGAAAACCAGUCAACAAAACUGGCAAUUGGCCCGGGCUAACUCACACAUGCUAGCGGUCGAUUCCUUGUUCAUUUUCUUUAUUGUUUCAGUUCGCAAAAAAGAUUUAUUCUUUAUCUGUUUCGUCUUUUGAUUCGCAGGAGCUCAACUUGGGGAAAGAAAGACUAAAGGUAUUAACAACAUGAGCUUGGUUGUGCCUUAUCAAUCCUUAAACUAAAGACUUCAGAAUUAGAGAUAGGAAGCACCAAGUGUGAGGAGGUUGAAGCAAAUGCAACUCAACUUGCUAAUGACAAGAAAAUCUGCAAUCCCAAUAAGAAGUGCAAGUUAAAACAACAGCCUUUAGAUCGUACCACUUUGGUUCAUCAAGUGGCAUCAGAGGGAAAGGUUGAUGGUAGAAGGAAAAUAUUGCCUUGUUGAAGCUUCUUGCAGAAAAAAACAAAAUCAUAGAACUGAGUAGCACUGAGUUGCAAGAUUGCAAGAAGAUCCUACAGCGAUCGGAGGAAAUCUUUAGACACUAUGGAUUUGUAAAUCCGGACACCUAUUCUUUCCUUAAACCAUACGUUCAUCAUCCCCUUUCUACUCCCACCGAUAGUUGUCUUAGUAACUCCAUGCUUAUGUUUCAUAUGACAUAACAGCAAAGUAACUUGCCAAUUCUGCAAUCCACGCAAUUAAUAUUACUUGUUGGUGCUUCUUGCGAUCA
This is an RNA transcript of Musa acuminata AAA Group (dessert banana), 1771 nucleotides long. It is a transcript of the gene named SHUGOSHIN 2-like, with no coding region annotated. Lineage: Eukaryota; Viridiplantae; Streptophyta; Magnoliopsida; Zingiberales; Musaceae. The transcript has 9 exons. The record is from RefSeq and is a predicted model, not a curated record.